UUGUUCAACCCAAAUCGCUUGAGAUUUGAUUUUGGAUUACAUGAAUACAAACCCCAAUCCAUACUUCAUCGAUAUUAGAUAAAGCAAAAUGGGCCAAAGUGUGAGCAGCCCUUUACCCUUUGUACUAACAUUGUAUAAUUUCCCCAUUAUGUUCGAGGAAAAUCGUGGAUCUUAAUGGCACUUACAAGAGUUUGACAAUCUGAUUCAAAAGCAACCUCAUCGAGUCCACGUGCUUUGAUGAUUUGAAUGAUGUUGAGGAUGGCAUGAGCUUCAACCAACGUGAUAUCUGGUGGCCCCAUCAUCUUCCAUGUUGCAGCCAAAAUCUCCUUCCCGUUGUUGUUUCUGAUCACCCAUCUCGAUCUCCACUCAUUAUUACUGGUAUGACUAGACAAUCCUUGUGAUAUUGGAGAAGUACAACUAGAUGAGUUUGAAUGUGGUGAUCUAUUGUUGAGCCAUAAGGUAAGAUUGUUAAACCUUAUGAGUAUUCCGGUUUGAAAUUCUUAUGAGACUUGGAGGUAGCCCUCCAAAUUUUGGGAGCUACCAUACAACAAAUUUUAUCUAGAUUGUCGCGUAUAUGUAUCUCGGAUUUUGUUGAGGUGAUCUAUCAGGACAUGACCAAUUUGAAUGUUCGCCCACUUGCGUAGUUGCAUAGUAUCAAGCCUCCAAACCAAGUACUUCAGAGUUAGAAUGAUACAAAAAAUGUGAAGAAGUAGAGUCUAAGCUCGUGCAUAACAUUGCAUUAUCUUGUGAUUAUUCCAUUGUAAUUAGUGUGUAUUGAAUGUGAUUAUAAUUUUUUCUAAAAUUUGAUGUUAAUUAUAAAGAGAUGUUGAUUUCUCUUUAAGGAUUUUGACGUUAUAAUGUGAUGUAAUUUCCUUGAAUAUUUUAAUAAAUUAGAAUGUAUUAAGAUAUAAUUUCUAUUUUAAUUAUUUGUGUGUUCUUCUUACUUAUAUUAUACUAUUAACAUGAUUUAUAAACUCACCCCUUUAGUUAUUUAUGUUUGAUUGGUUUGAUCAUACAUUUACGAAAUCACACUUAUUAUAAGUUAGUGAGCCUUGAAGUUGAAAUUUAGGAGAAGUUUCACUAAGAUAUCCGACGUCGUGAAUAUAAUUUAUAAGUUAUAUUUUACCUAUUUAAUUAGGAACCAUUUCUUUAUAUGAAAAUCUUGUUAGUACUAAUAAGUUCUUGAAAUUGAAUUAAAAAAUUAUAGUUAAAUUAAUUUUAUUGAGAUUGCAUUGUUUUGUUUAAAAAUUAAAUUUAAAGUUUUUCAUAUAUAUCUUAAAAGACGUGAUAUCUUAUAUUAUUUAAAACAAUUUUCAUUGAUACGCUGAAAAUUCUUAUAAAAAUAUAGGAUAAUUUAUUGUAUGUAUUACUUUGUGUUUAGAGUAUUACAUGAGUUAUAUCGUUAGUAUUGUAUCUAAUAGAUUCAUCACUUGUACGAUAAUUAUAACUUUAAGCAUAACAACCUUAAUAUAUGAUGAUUUAUUUGUUCACUAUAUAUCACACAUCAUUAUCAA
Molecule: non-coding RNA, 1514 nt
Organism: Cicer arietinum (chickpea)
Lineage: Eukaryota; Viridiplantae; Streptophyta; Magnoliopsida; Fabales; Fabaceae
Source: RefSeq, a predicted model, not a curated record